Molecule: ribosomal RNA, 859 nt
Filed under: uncultured bacterium
Lineage: Bacteria
Description: bacterial SSU rRNA
Rfam family: Bacterial small subunit ribosomal RNA
Source: RNAcentral
CGGUAAUACGAAGGGACCUAGCGUAGUUCGGAAUUACUGGGCUUAAAGAGCACGUAGGUGGUUAAAAAAGUUGGUGGUGAAAUCCCAGAGCUUAACUCUGGAACUGCCAUCAAAACUUUUUAGCUAGAGUAUGAUAGAGGAAAGUAGAAUUUCUAGUGUAGAGGUGAAAUUCGUAGAUAUUAGAAAGAAUACCAAUUGCGAAGGCAACUUUCUGGAUCAUUACUGACACUGAGGUGCGAAAGCAUGGGUAGCGAAGAGGAUUAGAUACCCUCGUAGUCCAUGCUGUAAACGAUGUGUGCUAGACGUUGGAAAUUUAUUUUCAGUGUCGCAGCGAAAGCGUUAAGCACACCGCCUGGGGAGUACGACCGCAAGGUUAAAACUCAAAUGAAUUGACGGGGACCCGCACAAGCAGUGGAGCAUGUGGUUUAAUCCGAAGAUACGCGCAGAACCUUACCAACACUUGACAUGUUCGUCGCGACUUUAAGAGAUUAAAGUCUUCGGUUCGGCCGGACGAAACACAGGUGCUGCAUGGCUGUCGUCAGCUCGUGUCGUGAGAUGUUGGGUUAAGUCCCGCAACGAGCGCAACCCUUACUUUUAGUUGCCACCAUUUAGUUGAGCACUCUGAAAGAACUGCCAGUGAUAAGCUGGAGGAAGGUGGGGAUGACGUCAAGUCCUCAUGGCCCUUACGUGUUGGGCUACACACGUGCUACAAUGGCACUCACAAUAAGAAGCGAAGAGGCGACUCUCAGCAAAUCUUAAAAAAGUGCCUCAGUUCGGAUUGUACUCUGCAACUCGAGUACAUGAAGCUGGAAUUGCUAGUAAUCGCGGAUCAGCGCGCCGCGGUGAAUACGUUCCCGGG